This 489-nucleotide ribosomal RNA is filed under the name uncultured bacterium. RNAcentral's name for it is "partial 16S ribosomal RNA". It matches the Rfam family "Bacterial small subunit ribosomal RNA", at positions 899 to 1397 of the family's 1533-position model. The record is from RNAcentral.
ACUCAAAGGAAUAGACGGGGGCCCGCACAAGCAGCGGAGCGUGUGGUUUAAUUCGAUGCAACGCGAAGAACCUCACCUAGGCUUGACAUGCUGGAAGUAGAACCCUGAAAGGGGAACGACCCGUAGAGUCGGGAGUCAGCACAGAUGCUGCAUGGCUGUCGUCAGCUCGUGCCGUGAGGUGUUGGGUUAAGUCCCGCAACGAGCGCAACCCUCGCCGCUAGUUACCAUGUCUAGCGGGACCGCCGGUAUCAAACCGGAGGAAGGUGGGGAUGACGUCAAGUCAGCACGGCUCUUACGCCUAGGGCUACACACACGCUACAAUGGCCGGUACAACGGGACGCCAAGGGGUGACCCGGAGCUAAUCCCAGCAAAGCCGGUCUCAGUUGGGAUUGCAGGCUGCAACUCGCCUGCAUGAACGCGGAGUUGCUAGUAACCGCAGGUCAGCACACUGCGGUGAAUACGUUCCCGGGCCUUGUACACACCGCCCGU